GCAAAACGCGAAGAACCUUACCAGGUCUUGACAUCCCGCUGACCGCUCUAGAGAUAGAGUUUUCCCUUCGGGGACAGCGGUGACAGGUGGUGCAUGGUUGUCGUCAGCUCGUGUCGUGAGAUGUUGGGUUAAGUCCCGCAACGAGCGCAACCCUUGAUCUUAGUUGCCAGCAUUUAGUUGGGCACUCUAAGGUGACUGCCGGUGAUAAACCGGAGGAAGGUGGGGAUGACGUCAAAUCAUCAUGCCCCUUAUGACCCUGGGCUACACACGUGCUACAAUGGACGGUACAGAGGGUCGCAACCCCGCGAGGGUGAGCAAAUCCCAUAAAACCGUUCUCAGUUCGGAUUGUAGGCUGCAACUCGCCUACAUGAAGCCGGAAUCGCUAGUAAUCGUGGAUCAGCAUGCCACGGUGAAUACGUUCCCGGGUCUUGUACACACCG
RNAcentral lists this ribosomal RNA (440 nucleotides) under uncultured bacterium. Its description in RNAcentral is "bacterial SSU rRNA". It matches the Rfam family "Bacterial small subunit ribosomal RNA", at positions 954 to 1392 of the family's 1533-position model. The record is from RNAcentral.